Molecule: ribosomal RNA, 562 nt
Filed under: Saccharomyces cerevisiae (brewer's yeast)
Lineage: Eukaryota; Fungi; Ascomycota; Saccharomycetes; Saccharomycetales; Saccharomycetaceae
Description: eukaryotic LSU rRNA
Rfam family: Eukaryotic large subunit ribosomal RNA
Source: RNAcentral
AGGAAAAGAAACCAACCGGGAUUGCCUUAGUAACGGCGAGUGAAGCGGCAAAAGCUCAAAUUUGAAAUCUGGUACCUUCGGUGCCCGAGUUGUAAUUUGGAGAGGGCAACUUUGGGGCCGUUCCUUGUCUAUGUUCCUUGGAACAGGACGUCAUAGAGGGUGAGAAUCCCGUGUGGCGAGGAGUGCGGUUCUUUGUAAAGUGCCUUCGAAGAGUCGAGUUGUUUGGGAAUGCAGCUCUAAGUGGGUGGUAAAUUCCAUCUAAAGCUAAAUAUUGGCGAGAGACCGAUAGCGAACAAGUACAGUGAUGGAAAGAUGAAAAGAACUUUGAAAAGAGAGUGAAAAAGUACGUGAAAUUGUUGAAAGGGAAGGGCAUUUGAUCAGACAUGGUGUUUUGUGCCCUCUGCUCCUUGUGGGUAGGGGAAUCUCGCAUUUCACUGGGCCAGCAUCAGUUUUGGUGGCAGGAUAAAUCCAUAGGAAUGUAGCUUGUCCUCGGUAAGUAUUAUAGCCGUGUGGUAAUACUGCCAGCUGUGACUGAGGACUGCUGACGUAGGUCAAGGAUGCU